This 494-nucleotide ribosomal RNA is filed under the name uncultured Bacillota bacterium. Its description in RNAcentral is "bacterial SSU rRNA". It matches the Rfam family "Bacterial small subunit ribosomal RNA", at positions 355 to 842 of the family's 1533-position model. Lineage: Bacteria; Bacillati; Bacillota. The record is from RNAcentral.
UAGGGAAUCUUCCGCAAUGGGCGCAAGCCUGACGGAGCAACGCCGCGUGAAUGACGAAGGCCUUCGGGUUGUAAAAUUCUGUCUUCUGUGAAGAACAAGCCUGUGAGUGGAAAGCUCAGGCCUUGACGGUAACAGAGGAGGAAGCCCCGGCUAACUACGUGCCAGCAGCCGCGGUAAUACGUAGGGGGCAAGCGUUGUCCGGAAUCACUGGGCGUAAGGCGCGCGCAGGCGGCCAUUUGCGUCCGGGGUGAAAGCCCAGAGCUCAACUCUGGGAUUGCCUUGGAUACGGGAUGGCUUGAGGAUCGGAGAGGCAAGGGGAAUUCCACGUGUAGCGGUGAAAUGCGUAGAGAUGUGGAGGAACACCUGUGGCGAAGGCGCCUUGCUGGCCGAUUUCUGACGCUGAGGCGCGAAAGCGUGGGGAGCGAAACAGGAUUAGAUACCCUGGUAGUCCACGCCGUAAACGAUGAGUGCUGGGUGUUGGGAGGUACCACCCG